RNAcentral lists this long non-coding RNA (402 nucleotides) under Ictidomys tridecemlineatus (thirteen-lined ground squirrel). RNAcentral's name for it is "lncRNA (ENSSTOG00000032068.1)". Lineage: Eukaryota; Metazoa; Chordata; Mammalia; Rodentia; Sciuridae. The record is from RNAcentral.
GAAAGGCUGCAAAUGGAGAAUGACUUUAGUACACCAAAUGGUUUGAAGGAAUCUGGCUGCUGCUGAGCCAAGUUUCCACAGCACCCCAACCAGGAUGGUGGGAAGAGGUUGUUCAGAUGUGUGGUCGCCAAUUAGUCCGAGAAGUCAUCAACGUUUGUGGCCAUGUGACCUGGAACAGGCCAGUGAGAUAUCCCCAUCAGAGAUCUGCAGGAUACCAGCAAAAAUUGAGCUUCCAGUUGAAUCCACCAUAGGUCAUAUCAGAGCUUGCCAUGUGUUCAAAAGUAUCAUCAGUGAUCACGUCAAUUAUAGGACAUAUCACUGUUCUCCUGUCAUGUUUGAUCCUUGCUAAGAGAGGCUCCAACCACCUAACUGUGCACUGGUGAUGAACAUCUAAGAAGGUGA